RNAcentral lists this ribosomal RNA (372 nucleotides) under uncultured organism. Its description in RNAcentral is "partial 16S ribosomal RNA". It matches the Rfam family "Bacterial small subunit ribosomal RNA", at positions 527 to 896 of the family's 1533-position model. The record is from RNAcentral.
GUAGGUGGCAAGCGUUGUCCGGAAUUAUUGGGCGUAAAGCGCGCGCAGGCGGUUCUUUAAGUCUGAUGUGAAAGCCCAAGGCUCAACCGUGGAGGGUCAUUGGAAACUGGAGAACUUGAGUACAGAAGAGGAAAGCGGAAUUCCACGUGUAGCGGUGAAAUGCGUAGAGAUGUGGAGGAACACCAGUGGCGAAGGCGGCUUUCUGGUCUGUAACUGACGCUGAGGCGCGAAAGCGUGGGGAGCAAACAGGAUUAGAUACCCUGGUAGUCCACGCCGUAAACGAUGAGUGCUAAGUGUUAGGGGGUUUCCGCCCCCCUUAGUGCUGCAGCUAACGCAUUAAGCACUCCGCCUGGGAGUACGGCCGCAAGGCUG